UCCUUCUGCUCAAAAGAACAGUGCUAAAACUGCAUAGUUCAGGUUUUUCCUGUUCUAUGCAGUAAUGCCAGUACUGUUGCACAGUGGACGGAGAUAAAUAUUGCCCUGCACCGGAAAUGAAACUUGGCUGGACCUCUUUCUUAAUGUCCAGUGGCCAUUGUUUCAAGGUCCAGCGCUACAUCA
This is a small nucleolar RNA of Engraulis encrasicolus (European anchovy), 183 nucleotides long. RefSeq annotates it as small nucleolar RNA SNORA81. The record is from RefSeq and is a predicted model, not a curated record. The transcript has a single exon. NCBI's taxonomy places the organism in Eukaryota, Metazoa, Chordata, Actinopteri, Clupeiformes, Engraulidae.